ACUCCUACGGGAGGCAGCAGUGGGGAAUAUUGCACAAUGGGCGCAAGCCUGAUGCAGCCAUGCCGCGUGUGUGAAGAAGGCCUUCGGGUUGUAAAGCACUUUCAGUUGUGAGGAAGGUGGUGUCGUUAAUAGCGGCAUCAUUUGACGUUAGCAACAGAAGAAGCACCGGCUAACUCCGUGCCAGCAGCCGCGGUAAUACGGAGGGGUGCGAGCGUUAAUCGGAAUUACUGGGCGUAAAGCGCAUGCAGGUGGUUUGUUAAGUCAGAUGUGAAAGCCCGGGGCUCAACCUCGGAACUGCAUUUGAAACUGGCAGACUAGAGUACUGUAGAGGGGGUAGAAUUUCAGGUGUAGCGGUGAAAUGCGUAG
This 366-nucleotide ribosomal RNA is filed under the name uncultured bacterium. Its description in RNAcentral is "bacterial SSU rRNA". It matches the Rfam family "Bacterial small subunit ribosomal RNA", at positions 335 to 693 of the family's 1533-position model. The record is from RNAcentral.